This 253-nucleotide ribosomal RNA is filed under the name uncultured bacterium. RNAcentral describes it as "partial 16S ribosomal RNA". It matches the Rfam family "Bacterial small subunit ribosomal RNA", at positions 524 to 776 of the family's 1533-position model. The record is from RNAcentral.
GACGUAGGUGGCGAACGUUAUCCGGAAUUAUUGGGCGUAAAGGAUGCGUAGAUGGUGUAGUAAGUUAUCGGUGGUAAAUCGAGGCUCAACCUCGUGGAAGUCGGUAAUACUGCUAUGCUAGAGGAUAGGAGAGGUUAACGGAACUCCCUGUGGAGCGGUGAAAUGCGUAGAUAUCGGAAGGAACGCCGGUGGCGAAAGCGACGUGCUGGACCUCUUCUGACGCUGAGGCGCGAAAGCCAGGGGAGCGAACGGG